GGACUCGUGUUCGAGACUCCUCACCGGGGGUGAUUAAUGCACAUUUCACACUAGGCUCGAGUGGUGUAGUUUGUGGGAUGCGGGGACACACUCGGGGUGGGCGGCCCAUGUGAUUUGGGGCUCACGAAGGUGGUUCGGACAAGGUCCUAACCCAUGCGAUGUGGGGCUCGGGCUAUGAGAUAAAGGGAUUAAUUCGCCAUACUCUAAUAGUUCGAGCUUUUAGAGCAAGUGGUUAAUUGUCCUGCAUCAUAAGUGCAUGAGAUCCACCCUGUCUAUCGGGUACAACACCUCUUUAGCUCUUGAUCUCAAAUCAGGCUGAUUCAACACUUAGGUGGGCCACCCCAUAGGUAAUAAUGCCUCUAAGUUCACGUGUUAUGGACCACCUUAUUUUUGGAAUAGCAUGGUUUUUGGUGAAUGCUUUCAUCCUGUCGAGGCAAGUUAGAUGAAUGGAUUGGAUGAAAUAUGUACAGCACUGUGGGCCCUGCACAAAACCAGUGGUGGGCAUUCCAUACCAACUCUUUCCUAUGGUGUGGCCUAACCUAAGUUUUGGUUUGUCAGGAUUUUGGGUUCCAAUCUGAAUGAGCGGCAGCAUACCUGAUGAACAGGUUGGAUCUAAUGAAAGUUCAACCCAUGUGGUGGUAGGUACGCUCCCCGCGUACCUAUUGGUGAUCAGGCUAGCGCAGCUCAUCCUUAUAUGCACGUCACUGUUCACCAAUGUUACAUGUAGCACACGUGUAAACAGGAGUACAAAACACAAUAUACAAGAUCUGGGCCACUCAUUAGGCAGGUCCCUCCAUGGAUGUCACCUGAUCCAAAAAUCAGAGGGCUGGAUUAUCGUAACUGUUGGAUUUGAGGAACCAUAUGAAAGCAUAAAAAAGUUGAUGAAAGGUCCAUAUGCAAUGCUUAUUCUGCUGUCUGAAAUGUUAAAGUGAUGUGAUAUUUGGACCAGAUCACAUGUGAUGGGCAACUGGAUGAGCACCUCUGGUAUCGUACACAAGUACACCCUUCAGUGCCUUCACCCACUCUCCGUACAUAAUGUUGGUGGAUGUGCCAGUAAGAUUAGUGCCCCAUACAGUUAUGAUGGUUAAGGAUGUCAAAAUGUGAUGUUAAUGGAUCUCCCAAACAAGAUCCUAGCUUACACCAAAGAUGGGUACUCGGGCAGUAUGACUAGGUUAACACACUUGUACAGACUUCUAAAGAAACUAGACAGCCCUUGAUCUUUUACAGCGCCCCAGAUAUCAAUGAAGGAGACUUCUCAACUGCAAAGACUGCUUCAAGAGAUAUCUAAAUAAAUAUCAUUCUACUCAAACAAUAAAAAGGCAGGAUUACAGCCAGUGUUUAAAUAGCUAUGCUAUGUAGCGUGUAGCUUAUGCUACGUAGCAUAGCAUUGCCUUAACGCUAUCCUACGCUACAUCAUAAUUUGCAUGCGCUACACGUUAUGUAGACUACGCUACCCGCUAUGUAGCUCACAUGAUGUUUUCAAUGAUUUGUUACAUUUUUCCAUUUCCAAUAAAAAUUAGUUAACAUUUUUAAUGCUUUCAGUAAAAUAAUCUAAAUAACAAUAUUAAAUCAGUUUCAUUGCUCUUUCUUUGCCUUUAUACUUAAUCAUUUCCCUUUCCUAUUACUUUAGGUUGCAUUUUAUUGCACCAAAUAUCAUGAAAUUUUGUUAAAUUUCAUUAUUAAUCAGUCUAAUCUGGUAUAGAAUAUCAUGACAUUGGUGCAACCAAGCACCUUGAUUAAAAAUCCAGAAGUUGUGUAGCUUACGCUACAUGCUAUGUAGGUUACGCUUCAUGCUUCAAAGGGGUGAACGCUAUGCUACAUGCUAUUCACUAUUUAAAACACUGAUUACAGCUACUUGAGUGCUCAAAUGAUAAAAAGACUGAACACAGUUGCUCCUUGGUAACCUUUGGACAAAAUUCACUACUGUUCUCAUGGCAAGUAGGCUUGUAAAUGCCAAGUUUCUAGCAGUUCUUGGGUCAUUGGAGUUACCAGCAAAAGUAUAUUUUGGUGCUUUUCCCUACAUCUUUGUAAUAGUUUCCUGCUAUCAAGGACAUCUUUUCCUGGCAUGUAGCUAACUUUCAUAUACUCAUC
Magnolia sinica is the source of this 2091-nucleotide long non-coding RNA. RefSeq lists it as uncharacterized. The record is from RefSeq and is a predicted model, not a curated record. NCBI's taxonomy places the organism in Eukaryota, Viridiplantae, Streptophyta, Magnoliopsida, Magnoliales, Magnoliaceae. The transcript has 3 exons.